CGGGAGCUGGGGUCUGCAGGU
This 21-nucleotide microRNA is filed under the name Homo sapiens (human). RNAcentral's name for it is "hsa-miR-6726-5p". The record is from miRBase by way of RNAcentral. Lineage: Eukaryota; Metazoa; Chordata; Mammalia; Primates; Hominidae.